RNAcentral lists this ribosomal RNA (437 nucleotides) under uncultured bacterium. Its description in RNAcentral is "partial 16S ribosomal RNA". It matches the Rfam family "Bacterial small subunit ribosomal RNA", at positions 29 to 507 of the family's 1533-position model. The record is from RNAcentral.
AGCGAACGCUGGCGGCAGGCUUAACACAUGCAAGUCGAGCGGGCAUCCUUGUGGUGUCAGCGGCAGACGGGUGAGUAACGCGUGGGAACGUGCCCUUCGGUUCGGAAUAACUCAGGGAAACUUGAGCUAAUACCGGAUACGUGCGAGAGCAGAAAGGUUUAUCUGCCGAAGGAUCGGCCCGCGUCUGAUUAGCUAGUUGGUGAGGUUACGGCUCACCAAGGCGACGAGCAGUAGCUGGUCUGAGAGGAUGAUCAGCCACACUGGGACUGGGACACGGCCCAGCCUCCUACGGGAGGCAGCAGGGGGGUAUAUUGGACGCCGGGGUCAACCCUGAUCCAGCCAUGCCGCGUGAGUGAUGACGGCCUUAGGGUUGUAAAGCUCUUUUCUCCGGGACGAUAAUGACGGUACCGGAGGAAUAAGCCCCGGCUAACUUCGUG